Molecule: long non-coding RNA, 1324 nt
Organism: Triticum aestivum (bread wheat)
Lineage: Eukaryota; Viridiplantae; Streptophyta; Magnoliopsida; Poales; Poaceae
Exons: 3
Source: RefSeq, a predicted model, not a curated record
AUGAACUUUCGGAAAACUAAUUCGCCUUAUUUUGAAAUAGAGAUAUUAAUUGUUGGGAUCAUAUCCAUGUACCAUCAUCCAAAACCCAUGUAUUCAUGAGGUGUGGCGUUAAUUUCGACUAAUCUGCCCCAUGGACGGAAUCUCAAGACCAUGAUUGGCAGACCAACCCACAUACAAUUCCUUGAGACUAACAUCUACCCAAAGUUCAUCUUCUGGUAUGUCUCUGAACUUCUCUCAUGACAAUACUCUUAGUUGGUACGACAUCAAGUUCCAAACCAAUCCAAACUUGGCAGCACUACUUACCAAUAAAUUAAGAUAACUUUUGCAAAAAGGUUUUGUCGUAAUUUGUCAUAUCAAGAUGAGUAGCACUAUAUUGUUUCCUAGCAGUAAGCUUUUGCCAGCUUCUUAGAUUUGAUCUGUAUGAAUACUUGAUUAGUUCAUUUUCAUUUAUAGCAUUGUAGAUGUUCGCUUCUGCUACUCGAUUUCCAUAAUGGAACAUCCAGUUUAGGUGGGCCAAACAGCCGGUAAGCUUAAGAAUUGGUGGUAAGCUCUUGCAAGAACUUGCAAGCUUCUUGUGUUAAAUUUCAUUUAUGUGCCUGUAUUUGUUCUUGAAUCCUUGUUCUUUUUGUGUACUUUAUACGGAGGUUGCAGUAACUCACAGCACUACAGUUUUCUUUCCCUGUACUUUGUAACAUAUAGCUGUACAUAGUUACUGUUAUUUGCGUUUUGAUUAAAAUGAGAACAUAAUUCUUAUGAUCUACAAUGUCCAUAUAGUGUAUCUCUUCUAGAUGGAAAGGUGUGCAGAAGGGAUUUGUACCAAUUGACCGGGUAGCAAUUGAACAGGAAGAGGCGUAGUAAGGAUAAAAUAGUAGAAGAGCACUAGAGGAUGCUUGAAUGAAUUGUAAAGCGGGAUGAGAAGUGUCGCAAAAGAAUCAAUUCUGCUGGUAUCGAUUACGAGUGUCCAGCCCCUCUCCAUCACCCGCUUGAAAGAGAGGAGAAGGGUUGCCUCCCGUCCGUCUCAUCCCAUCCCCUUGUGCCAGCCAUGAAAGAGAGGAGGGAGAGCAGAAAUGAGCGUGGUGGCAAUGCGCCGAUGCUGGCCGGUUGAGGCAUGGUCGACGUGUCAGUCAAGGGGUCCCUGCAUUUGUGAUCUAUGAUGGUCGGCUCGCUGUGGCGGUCGGCCAUGGAAUAGUUGUGAGGGAGAGCACCCCUUUAGCGCCUCUCCGCAUAGUUCUUCCUUCCCCUACCGCCGAUCAACAGUUCGAUAUCCUUGUCCAAGGCCGGCGUGUACAGUUUCAGCCUCGUUCCCAUGGAUGGCAAAGUCUGU